GGAGGAGUGGCCGAGUGGUUGAAGGCGGACGCCUCGAAAGCGUCUUUACCAGCAAUGGUAACGGGGGUUCGAAUCCUCCCUCCUCCG
RNAcentral lists this transfer RNA (87 nucleotides) under Candidatus Margulisiibacteriota bacterium. Its description in RNAcentral is "tRNA-Ser". It matches the Rfam family "tRNA". From Rfam's summary of the family: Transfer RNA (tRNA) molecules are approximately 80 nucleotides in length. The record is from RNAcentral. Lineage: Bacteria; Bacillati; Candidatus Margulisiibacteriota. RNAcentral also lists the same sequence under 3 other names.